CCUACGGGUGGCAGCAGUGAGGAAUAUUGGUCAAUGGACGAGAGUCUGAACCAGCCAAGUAGCGUGAAGGAUGACUGCCCUAUGGGUUGUAAACUUCUUUUAUAUGGGAAUAAAAUGUUCCACGUGUGGGAUUUUGUAUGUACCAUAUGAAUAAGGAUCGGCUAAAUCCGUGCCAGCAGCCGCGGUAAUACGGAGGAUCCGAGCGUUAUCCGGAUUUAUUGGGUUUAAAGGGAGCGUAGGUGGAUCGUUAAGUCAGUUGUGAAAGUUUGCGGCUCAACCGUAAAAUUGCAGUUGAAACUGGCAGUCUUGAGUACAGUAGAGGUGGGCGGAAUUCGUGGUGUAGCGGUGAAAUGCUUAGAUAUCACGAAGAACUCCGAUUGCGAAGGCAGUUCACUGGACUGCAACUGACACUGAGGCUCGAAAGUGUGGGUAUCAAACAGGAUUAGAUACCCCAGUAGUC
This 460-nucleotide ribosomal RNA is filed under the name uncultured bacterium. RNAcentral describes it as "partial 16S ribosomal RNA". It matches the Rfam family "Bacterial small subunit ribosomal RNA", at positions 338 to 795 of the family's 1533-position model. The record is from RNAcentral.